UCAGAUUGAACGCUGGCGGCAUGCCUAACACAUGCAAGUCGAACGGAAACGAUGGGAGCUUGCUCCCAGGCGUCGAGUGGCGGACGGGUGAGUAACACAUAGGAAUCUGCCCAGUAGCGGGGGACAACUUGGGGAAACUCAAGCUAAUACCGCGUAGCGCUACGGGGGAAAGCGGGGGACCUUCGGGCCUCGCACUAUUGGAUGAGCCUAUGUCAGAUUAGCUUGUUGGUGGGGUAAUGGCCUACCAAGGCGACGAUCUGUAGCUGGUUGAGAGGACGAUCAGCCACACUGGGACUGAGACACGGCCCAGACUCUACGGGAGGCAGCAGUGGGGAAUAUUGCACAAUGGGCGAAAGCCUGAUGCAGCAAUGCCGCGUGUGUGAAGAAGGCUGCGGGUUGUAAAGCACUUUCAGUGGGGAGGAAACAGUUGCGGGUUAAUAUCCCGCGACCUUGACGUUACCCACAGAAGAAGCACCGGCUAACUCUGUGCCAGCAGCCGCGGUAAUACAGAGGGUGCAAGCGUUAAUCGGAAUUACUGGGCGUAAAGCGCGCGUAGGCGGCUUGGUCAGUCGGAUGUGAAAGCCCCGGGCUUAACUUGGGAAUUGCAUUCGAUACUGCCUGGCUAGAAUGUAGUAGAGGGAAGUGGAAUUCCGGGUGUAGCGGUGAAAUGUGUAGAUAUC
RNAcentral lists this ribosomal RNA (680 nucleotides) under uncultured Gammaproteobacteria bacterium. RNAcentral's name for it is "bacterial SSU rRNA". It matches the Rfam family "Bacterial small subunit ribosomal RNA", at positions 24 to 698 of the family's 1533-position model. Lineage: Bacteria; Pseudomonadati; Pseudomonadota; Gammaproteobacteria. The record is from RNAcentral.